This is a long non-coding RNA of Onychostoma macrolepis, 3241 nucleotides long. RefSeq lists it as uncharacterized. The record is from RefSeq and is a predicted model, not a curated record. The transcript is spliced from 4 exons. NCBI's taxonomy places the organism in Eukaryota, Metazoa, Chordata, Actinopteri, Cypriniformes, Cyprinidae.
CUCUAGCCUGUUUGAAUCACAUGCCCUCAAAAUAUAAUUAACAUUGAAGAUGAUGGCAAAGCAAAUAUUAUGCAUGUUUGCGCCAUCAUGUUGAAUUUGAGCAAAGAACUUCCUGUUCACAUUGUGAUGUGGUAAUAAUGUCGCUGUAAAGUGCUACACCAAACUCAGCCCUCUACCCACAACUCAACUUUAAAUUUGUAGUAGGAAACACGAAACUGAUCUGUGAACAGUUAUGUGGUAACUUAAAGGUUAUUUUUAAAGCACUUUUUCAUGUGUUCCCAUUAGAAGAGAAACAGUGUAUGUGUAUUAUAUAUUUGUCACGCAAAGAUGUUUACAUAUGAAGAGUUAAAGUUCUCAUGUUCAGAAUGAAUGCUAACUAUGAAACAGCAGGAUACACUGAAGCACACACUAGUCUACAGCAUUAUGGGGAAGUACUAGUUUACUUCACCAUGCUUGAAAUUUAGCCCCUCCCCCAGACACACGCACAAAACACAAACACAUCCAAACUUACGUUUGUCCUUGAAGUCUUGAGAGUAGCUGGAACACAAAUAAUUUGGAUUUUUGUUGAAUACUAUAUCAGCAUAGAGUCACAAACAUACCAGCAUGAGAGCGGAAAAACAGAUGGGAAAGAUACAGCAUGCUCAUAUGAUCUAAUCUAAUCUGAAUCUAAAACAAGAAGCUACACUACUUCCUUAGCCAAAGAGGCAAUCCUCAUUUACAAACUUUGAGAGCUGGUAGAGAAGAAUUGCUUCGUUGGCCCAAAACAAUACUGAAAUGUAAGGUUUAUGGCAGCUACGUGAAGACAUACUAGACUUGAAAACAUAUGAGAUGGGUGAGGUCACCAGGAAAUACUAUGAUAUGUGACAGAAUAUCUGCAUGAAGCCCACCUGCAUAGGAAUGACAAAAGGGACCACCAAGAUUAAAUGCAAGGUUUCCAUGGAAACCAGUUGAAGGCUGACUGCACUGACUUUAAAUGCCUGCAUAGACAUUACAGACUGAGUAACAUAGGCCUUUCCUCUUUAAGCAUUUUAUAGCUGUCGGGACAGGAAUUUUACUUUGCACAGAUUGUUCAUCGAUUCUUGUGGAUGCUGGGAUGACCAAAAAUAUGUCAGGCUCGCUAACCAAAGCCAUAAACUUAGGCUGCAAAACACUUGAGAAAAUAACAUUGUUGCUGGAGCCCCGAAUUACAUGUGCAUAUUAUGCAUACCAAAUGGUUUCACAUCAGUUUGCAUUAAGGCAAAGUUGAUUGUUCAAUUUGGGUAGGAUCAUGAAAGUUAUGUGUCUGUCAAACUUUAUGGCAGUCUUUAAUAAGUAAGCAGAUAAUUAUACUUGAAGCAUCCGUGCAAUAACAUAUUUUAGCAAAUGCAUCUGCAGUGAUACCCAGGUCCUAGUAGUGGCUCAUAUGAGUUAUUGUGAUGCAUAUUCACUAUGGAAAGGCAAAUUUGGUUUAUCCAGUUUUCUAUUUUACAACCACAGCUUUAAAAAUGGGGUGCUGCCACAAAAGUGACAGCUAACUUCCAAAAAUGUAUAUGUGUAGAAUGUAAAAAGUUGCCUCAAUGAGAGGGUUACAGUUAUAUAUUUAUAUACAGUAUUUUUAUUCAGGGCAUUUUUGAAAACUGUAACAGAAGAUUAAUGAUAAAAUUGUAAAGAGAAUUUGUAUUGUAAUUCUAAGCCUUUCCCUGCAUGACUAUGAUGCAAAAAUCUAUUUUUGUGUAGCUAGCUGGAUGUUGAUCACUUCUCUGUGCCAAAUCUCAACUCAGUCUUUAACCUGGUUAAAGAAUGCCGAUCACGUGUUUGUUUUCAUCAAAGGACGUCAGUCAAACUAUUUGUUCAGGCUCGAUUUGGCGCAACGCCUUUAGAGCCUAAACGAUUUUGAGCUUUGUUUUGUAAAAUGCUAUAAAGGGGCUUUUCUGUACACGUCUUUUUGUGUAUGAUUGAAAAUUCUAAAUAAUAUAGCAUUUAAUAAACCAAAUGAAAGAUAAGAGCAUUUAAAAACUGCUUUGUUAAUAACUGAAAAGCCCUCAGACCACGAUUAUUGUUUUAUUAUAUAGUUAUAUUAUAACUUAACUACAUUAGUAGGUCUGCAGUGGUUAUAGUAUAUCAAUCCUACAUUGUGUGGGUGUAAAGUUAGCCUGAUCUAAUACAAGGACUCGGAUCAUUCUGCGUCUCUAACAAAUGCCUCUGCGGUGUGAGCUGUUGGCCGCUAGGCCUCAUUUCCAUUUCGACACUUACGCAGCGAUUGCAACGUGGCGUCAGAUGUUUGGAAAUUAUCCUAGCUAGAUUUCUCCGAAGCUAGGUUUCACAGAACACUCUUCUCGAGGUACCACUUAAGUCGUAUUUUAUACAUUCAGAAUUUCCUACAACUUGCACUUCAUAGAGUAGGCUAUAUAGCAUUAACGGAGGUGGCUCGAGUCACCAUAAUUAUUAAACUCGAUAAACCAGCCACGGAUAAGAACUAAUGAUGGUCAAACGAAUUAUUUUAUUUUGUGAUUAUUUGUGGAUUCAACUAAUGUGGGACAAAUAUCAGUGCCAAAAUACUUUAGAAAAUUUAAAAUAAAUAUACCUAAAUACAAAUGUGUUUGUUAAACUUAAAGGCCAUGAGACCGGUGUUGACAGGCUUAUUAUUGUGGAAAAGGUGAAAAGCGUUUGCCAAGAUCCUGGCUUGUCGAAAAAGAUUAAAAUAGAGUUGUUUUAUGGCUGUAUAACAACUAGCGGGGAUCACUCGAGUUAGACCAAGAAGACACACAGGCCCAUAGAGGUAAGAUCUUGGGAGAGCAGGGACGAGGUAAUCAAAUGAGAUUAUUAGUUUAUUAGCUAUUUAUUCAGAUAUCAGCUAUUUGCAAUUUAAAUGAAUAAAUAUUAAUAUUGAUAAAACACUAGCAGAAUUCUGUUUUAGUUUAUACAGUCAGAUCAUUGCUUGCAGCGUUGCCUGUUGAUAAAACUAUAUUGGCUACUUCAUUUGAUAACUCUUGUAUUAGAUGCUCUGAUCCGAUUCGACACACAUUCAUCAAAUGUAAAUUAAAUCUAUGAACUGCAGAUAAACUGAUAAUUAUAAUAAAUUAUAUAAACUAAAUGAUUAAUGUUAAAAUGUGGUUUGUCUGUUGAAUUCCCUUCUCAUUCUCAGCGGCGGAUUGAAUUACGUGGAGUGCUGCCUCAACACCAACCCCCUGUCGAAGGUUUAAUAGGCAAUAAAAUUUAAUUGCUGAACUCCAAAACGUUACAACUCUUGGCCAGGAGACUC